GACGAACGCUGGCGGCGUGCUUAACACAUGCAAGUCGAACGGAAAGGCCCUGCUUUUGUGGGGUGCUCGAGUGGCGAACGGGUGAGUAACACGUGAGUAACCUGCCCUUGACUUUGGGAUAACUUCAGGAAACUGGGGCUAAUACCGGAUAGGAGCUCCUGCUGCAUGGUGGGGGUUGGAAAGUUUCGGCGGUUGGGGAUGGACUCGCGGCUUAUCAGCUUGUUGGUGGGGUAGUGGCUUACCAAGGCUUUGACGGGUAGCCGGCCUGAGAGGGUGACCGGCCACAUGGGGACUGAGAUACGGCGCAGACUCGUACGGGAGGCAACAGUGGGGAAUAUUGCACAAUGGGCGGAAGCCUGAUGCAGCAACGCCGCGUGCGGGAUGACGGCCUUCGGGUUGUAAACCGCUUUCGCAUGUGACGAAGCGUGAGUGACGGUAAUGGGUAAAGAAGCACCGGCUAACUACGUG
RNAcentral lists this ribosomal RNA (468 nucleotides) under uncultured bacterium. Its description in RNAcentral is "partial 16S ribosomal RNA". It matches the Rfam family "Bacterial small subunit ribosomal RNA", at positions 28 to 507 of the family's 1533-position model. The record is from RNAcentral.